RNAcentral lists this long non-coding RNA (20511 nucleotides) under Brassica napus (rape). RNAcentral's name for it is "long non-coding RNA (BNAP_LNC001175)". Lineage: Eukaryota; Viridiplantae; Streptophyta; Magnoliopsida; Brassicales; Brassicaceae. The record is from RNAcentral.
AUGUUUCUAGAGGAGUCCUUCUCUAAAUCCUCCUUCGAAGCCCCUGAGGCUGCAUUCUUCUGUUCAAAACUUUGAUCAACUGAUUCCUGCUUCACAUUGGACAUUGAUGAUCCUUGACCAGGUGGCAGUGAUGAGCUGUUUUGGAAGUGCGAUGUAGCGCCACCUUGAACCCUACUAGGAUCAUUGACAGAAGUUUGCCUCUCAAACUUGGGCAUAGUCAUCAUGUUUGUCGUAGACUGUGGCGGUCCUCCAAGACCAGAUGAUCCCAUGGUCUGGUUAUGCGCCACAUGUCUCAUAUGGGGAUCAUGAAGGUGUGGUCUCAAUGGGGAACCAGAAACAUUGGUGUUGAAUGAGUGAAUAUUACCGGAGCUGGUAUACAUGGGAAAAGAGCUUGGUGGAAGCUGCAUUUGGUGCGGCGGAUGUUUGGUAAGCCCCUGCACAGGAACUGAACUGCUUGUUGACGAAGAUAGUUGGUUAAGGUGGACGACUCCACGAGGGUCAGACUGAGACUUUUGAUUAUUAAUUUCUGCGAUUGAACAGAUUGAAUCAGUAAGGGUUUUGGAUUUUGCACGGAACUAAUAAGACACAUCUACGGAAAGCAUAAAGCUUUAUGAUGAUCGUGAAAAGAAAAGCAAGAAUGUAUCAGUGAAUAAUCAAUACCAGUAGAAGGAGCUUGAAUUCCCAUUUUUCCCUGGUUAUAACCCACCUGAAAACGACCACAAGUUACCAAUAAAAAAAGUAUUUAAGAGAGACCCUUAUACAUUACAAAUGAUAACAAUCGUAAACCCUAACUUAAAAGGAGAAAACCUUAAUCCUAAUGCAAAAGGGAAAAACACCAAAACUAUUACAAAUGCAAUGUGGAACAAACGCAAGUCACUAAAACCAUACGUCUAAUCAAGCGAGGCGCAUACCCUAAGAAAUUAUUAUAAUCGUCUAAGAUAACACACUGUGAAAAGGUAUGCAGACCAUGCAAGUAUGAGUGUAUAACCAUCUUCUUAAGGAUUUUGUGAAAAGGUUGAGCAUUCAUUGAACUCUUAACUGUAAAAAAACAACAAAACAGUAUCUGGAAAAUUAUAAACUAAAGAUGUUCCUAUAAACUGGAUCCGGUCGCAAUCUAAUACCCUAAGUUAAAUGCCUAGUACUAGUUUUCACUACAUGACACAAUAUAGGCAAAAUGGUAGUACCUGCUGUAGUUUACUAACUGCUAGCCUAAGCAUCUGAUCGCCUACAAUAUCCUUCAUAUGUCGGGUGAACCCUUCUUUGGGGAUUUCAUUUUUCUGCAAACAAGUAUCAGAAGGAAAUCAAUAAAAAGGCAACAUCUGAGGGAGCAGAAUGUCAGGGGAUUUCAUAAAUAGACUUACCUUAAGUCUGGAAUAAAGGGUACGGAGCUGCAGCGCUCUGUCUUUGUCGAGUUGGGCCAUUAAGGUAGGAAGCAAAGCAGCAAAAGGAACUUGCUUAGGGUUGCGGUUCAGAGGAUUAACAGGAGGCUGUUCCAUUCCACGAGCCUGUUGACUACUCAUCUUUUGCAGUUUAAGAAACUGAGAUUCACUCUCUUGAUUAUGCGGUCUUUCAGGUUCAUUACCAGUAGGGUUCUUUUCAGAAAUCUGCAACCCAGAUGUUUGGGGCACCUGCGGAGGAUUGUCCCAAUGCUGACCUGGUCGAUGAAGGUCUUGAGGUUCAUUUGCACGUUUUAAAUCAUGUUGGUGUUGACCGUCUAAAGCCGAUCCAUGUUGAUCCUUCAUCUGAGUGCUGUCAAGGCUGUGCUGCGUCUGGAGAUUCAUACUGGCAUCUCCUAUAUCAUUCUUCCAUGUAGCUGUGAAGUGUUGGUUGGGAGAAUGGGUGUUUCCUACAGAAAAGGGACUGAGAUAGCUCAAAUCCUAAUUGUAUUACAAUAUCUAAUGAAGAGAAAGGAAAAAACAAGAACAAAAAAACCAACGAGAUGUUGGUGUAGUGGUAAACAAGAACUCCGCCACUCAGGCUAAAUUCUAGUUGGGAAGAACUAUUUAUACUGUUUGGGUUCCCAGCAGAGAGGCGUAGUUGAUCAAUUCAUCCUACUAUCUACCCUGGCUAAUAAGUCGUAUCAAACAUUGAUCAAUUCGAGCAGAUAGAGAGGCCACUGAACCCUUAAAAACUGAACCUCCUAAAGUAUUGCUUUAUCGUAAAUCAGAACCAUAUACCAAGAGUAGUAAUAAUAAUAACCUAUCUGAAUAAUAUAAACAAGAAUUCACAAGGUCAAUAUUGAAAUCGAUGCCAUACCAGGAGGGUUCGUAGAGCCUUCAAUAUCUCGAUUCAGAGCGGCCUGGAACGCGUCCACAUCAGCUCCCGAGUGCAUCGAUUCAUCCUAAUCACACACAAAUUCGCCCCAAAUUUUAAAAUCACGACGAGGCUCCUCCAUACAAACAAAUCUGAAAGAGUAUGUAGAAACCUAACCUCGUCUUCUUCGAGGAGUUUGAAAAUUGAAGGAUCCAUUGAUUUGGAAAGAGAAAGCGAGAGCUCGGCCAAGGGAGGAAUUUAAAGGAAAGUAUUCUCGUCUGGUGAGAAAAUUACACAUGCGUCCUUCCUUUAGCUGAAAUUUGUGGAUCACUCCUUCUCUAUAUGAGUAAAAUAUAUUUCCGGUUUGGCAAUAUCUUCGUUUACCUAUGACCAUGAUUAACCGGGGUUCUUAGCGGAAUUUAAAAAACUGUUUCUUAACUUUUAACUAAAAAAAUUAAGAACCGGUUCUUAAUUUUUUUAGUUAAAAGUUAAGAAAAGAACCCAAUUUUAAUAAUAUUGCUCUCAGUUCCUAAACUAAUAAACCCCAUCUCAUUUGUUGAUUUUCAAUGAUUGUAUCACACGUCCGUAUUCAAAUCAGAUUUUUCAAAACGUUUGGAUGACAUGCGCAUGUGUUCCUAGUUGGGUUUUCUUAUUUUCGAACUAGAUUUGGGCCCGUGCGUUGCAACGGGCUUUAUUUGAUAUUUAAAUUUAAUAAAAAAUAUUAAAAACUCAUUUUAUUAUUUUUAAAAAAUUGUUUUGCAUAUGUUAUGUGAAAUUUAUUUUAUAGUUAAGAACUCGUUUUGUUAGAGCUAGAAAAAACAUCCAAACGUAAAAAUUUAAACCGGAUCCAACCCAAAAUAAUAAUUAUAAUGAAAUAAAAAUGAAUUUAGAAGUUAAAUAAGUCGAAAAAGCAAUGACAACAUUAUACAUUUUCUUAUGUACUAAUUUAAUGUUUUAUUAAACUUAUCUGAUGUUAAAUAAUUUUCUUGAUUCAUUAUUUAUUAAUGAUAUAUUUUCAUAAUAACAUUUUAAUUUAAAUGAAUUAUAAACUACUGCAUAUCAAACAUGUGUUUGAUUUUCGUAUAACCAAACACAUAAAUACCAAUCACGAAUCUUCUCAUUCCUUCUUCUUCCCAAAUGCAAAAAUAAAGAACUAAACAGUCUGGGAGAACCCGAAAUCGAUGAAGCAAAUGAUCUUUUUCGAACCAAUUAUUAAUACAAACUCAAAAAGCCCCAACUCCUUUUGAAAUCCUAAUUUCAAACCAGAAGAACCAAUUUUUUACAAACGCAAAAAGCCCAAAAUUCGAAUUAAAACCCUAAUUACAAACGCAACAAACCCCCAAAUUGUGUUCGAACCCUAAGUUGAAACGAUAUCGAUUGAACAUGCAAACUAAUAUAUAUCGAUGAAUCUACCUUGUUCAGUCGACGGAGACAAAUCGCCGUCGUUCGCCGCAGGAAUAGCCAUCUGUCGUCGCGGGAUUCGCCUUCGCUUCGUCGAGAGAGCAAUCGCCUCUCUUCAUCGGGACUUUUUUUUUUCUGCUUCGGUCGAGAAUGACCAGUGUUUUACGCGUAACCAAACCGAAAACCCUUCCAUUCAUUCAAAACACGCCACAUACCCUAAGGAUCAAGUCCUAAAAAUCCUUAAUAAUGUAUCAAUCCUUACUCCUAUUAACCAAACAACUAUUAUUAUAAUCCUCCUAACCUAUGAUUAAACGCUAAGGACCCUGCAUGUACCUCGGUUGCGGACGCUCUUAUAUCACCAUAUUGAGCUUGUUGGUAUUGUGGCUUAGCUUGUAUGUUGGGCUAAUACUUUAUUUUCACUACCUUGGAAUUUAAGUUUAUCAAACUCUAUAGUUUUUUUCUGGAUACAUGCACCUACUAAGGGUUAUUAUGUGGCUAGUCUUUAGGGUCUUGUCACUCUAUGUUUGCGUUUAAUAUGUUUGGUCAUGUCAUAUAUUCCAUGAAAAACAGUGAAUCCAUCCAACACAUUUUUAUGCAAAUAACUAACUUUGGCGUCUUGUUUCAAAAAAAAAGAAAAAAAAAGUAACUUUGGUGUCUUGACGAUUAAAUUAUCAUCAGAAGCUUAUAAAUAUAACGAUUCUGUGAUAAUGAAGCUUUCCUAUUGAAGUAAAUAUAACAAUUCUGUGAUAAUGAAGCUUCCUAUUGAAGUAAUCGAUACAUUAGAAUAGAUUUAGACAUCUGAGGCUCUCUUUCCAGGACAGCAACCACAUCCUUCGCCGAGAUUGUCCUCACCACUUUUGGUUGAAGCGACGAACCUUGGUUCUUCCCUAAUCUUCGACCACCUGAAAACAAGAAUCCAGAGCUUGUUAUAUGGAACAAAACCGUGAAGUAAAUAUAAAAGCUAUUAAAAGGGAAAAAAGCUCACCAACUCCAGUAAACCGUCGCCCACUGUCUUGCUUGUCCUUGGAGUUUCUUCCUCCACUUGAAGUAGCUUUCUGAGUCCCAUCUUUACCAGAUUCAGAUACAGAUUUCUGACGUGCUUCCGCCAUUAAUUGCCAUUUUAAAAACGUAUCAUCUCCUCCCACAGCAGCACGAGCAGCAACGUUUGCAGCUGUCGUUCUCAUUUUGUCGUCGUCCUCUUUAUUGCCCUUCACAAAUUAAAACCAGACUUUCUUCCCUAAUCUUCGACCACCUGAAAACAAGAAUCCAGAGCUUGUUAUAUGGAACAAAACCGUGAAGUAAAUAUAAAAGCUAUUAAAAGGGAAAAAAGCUCACCAACUCCAGUAAACCGUCGCCCACUGUCUUGCUUGUCCUUGGAGUUUCUUCCUCCACUUGAAGUAGCUUUCUGAGUCCCAUCUUUACCAGAUUCAGAUACAGAUUUCUGACGUGCUUCCGCCAUUAAUUGCCAUUUUAAAAACGUAUCAUCUCCUCCCACAGCAGCACGAGCAGCAACGUUUGCAGCUGUCGUUCUCAUUUUGUCGUCGUCCUCUUUAUUGCCCUUCACAAAUUAAAACCAGACUUUGCAAAGUUACAGUCAAACUGCCUCCAAAAAUGUGUUUUUAAUUUCUCCCUUACCUUCAAACCCUUUGAACGGUUAUCUUCUUUCUCCUUCUCACUAUCAACUCCACCAUCACCUUCUUCACUCUGCAUCAUUGAGAAAAUAAUACAAACAAACUUUGCAAUGUCUGUAUGCUUUAGUAAAAAAUUAAGAAGAUAGAUAAUGAGCACAGAAUAUACCUCACUCGGUUUCUUAAGCUUUUCUGCUUCAGCCUGUUUCUUCUCCCAUUCCUCUUUCACCUUCUGAUUCAUUUCGUUGAUUUGCUGCCGAACAUCUGACGUGAUAACAGUCCGGUGUCUGGAUUUCUCAGUAUCAACUCGCUGCAGAAACACUUGUAAAACGUCAGAUACAAAAAUGUUGAGGCAGCAAGAAAGAGACAGUUAGACUAACCUGCUUGGACAACCGAAUUAUAUGAGAUAAUAGUCCUCGCAUCCUUUCUUCCACACACUGAGAGCGCAAAUGCAUGAGAAAAGAAAAAGAAAAUAGGCAUUAUGUGCAAAAAACAAUGCACAAAAAGUUGACAUCUCACCAAAGACAAGCACCGUUCAACAUCAUUGCUUAUCUGCUUUAAGCCGACUUUUGCCACUGCCACAGAAGAAAAACACAUAUAUGUAAAGUUUCUCCAAGUGAUUCAUAAAGCGAAAGCAGAUAAAAAGAUACGGAAAGUAUCGCAACUAAUUUCAGCCAGCUUUUUCUGCAGAGGAAUUUUCUGCAAAAUUAGUCUUUCUUCCUCUUCGUGCACAACUCUCCGAGAUGCUUCAGAAACACGACCAUCCUCCUUUCCCCCAGAGAACAAUUGUUCUUCCUCUUCCUAAACCAGAAAUAUUAUUCAGUACUCCAUAAACAGAGAUUUUUAUUCUAAACCGAAGCUAAAGCAAACGCACCCUGAGAUUAACACCACUGACUGCAGUGACAUCAUUGAGCUGUUCAAUACUUUGAUCCAUAGAAUUCGGGACCAGUUUUUGCUUCUUGCUGCAAGUUGAACCAUUCAAAAUCAAAAUAACCAUGAUUAUAGUUUUACGUUAGGAAACCAAGUGUAAAUAAUUUCACUUUUUUUUAAACAAGAGGAGCUCAAUUACCUUGGUGGUGACGAUGAAGAACCUAACGUCUCAAGAGGUUUCUUCUGACCAACAAAAGGCUUUUUGGGUGGCAUCCUAGCAUUAACUCCUGCUUGAGACGUACCCAAUGGACCACGAGAAUUCAUCUGGUGGACAUAAAAAAAUUGGUCAACGAUAAAUAUUUUCCAAAACUGAAACUUUUUCCUCAAUAUUACCAAAAAAAAAAAGGAAAACGAGGAAUAAAAUCGAUGCCAAGGUUUUCGAAAAUAAAAAGCCAACAGAAGCACCAUGGUUGCCCCAAAUGCUCAAAGAGAAGAAGAGGCAAACAAAGAUCAACUGAAACUGACUUUUUAAUGAGAAGUUUAUAUAUCAAAAAUAGCUCUUACUGCUGUGCUAGCGUCCAGUUGAGUUGUGAUGGAAGAAGGAGAAACAGAGCUUGCAUGCGACAUGUUUCUAGAGGAGUCCUUCUCUAAAUCCUCCUUCGAAGCCCCUGAGGCUGCAUUCUUCUGUUCAAAACUUUGAUCAACUGAUUCCUGCUUCACAUUGGACAUUGAUGAUCCUUGACCAGGUGGCAGUGAUGAGCUGUUUUGGAAGUGCGAUGUAGCGCCACCUUGAACCCUACUAGGAUCAUUGACAGAAGUUUGCCUCUCAAACUUGGGCAUAGUCAUCAUGUUCGUCGUAGACUGUGGCGGUCCUCCAAGACCAGAUGAUCCCAUGGUCUGGUUAUGCGCCACAUGUCUCAUAUGGGGAUCAUGAAGGUGUGGUCUCAAUGGGGAACCAGAAACAUUGGUGUUGAAACCCGGGAAUGAGUGAAAAUUACCGGAGCUGGUAUACAUGGGAAAAGAGCUUGGUGGAAGCUGCAUCUGGUGCGGCGGAUGUUUGGUAAGCCCCUGCACAGGAACUGAACUGCUUGUUGACGAAGAUAGUUGGUUAAGGUGGACGACUCCACGAGGGUCAGACUGAGACUUUUGAUUAUUAAUUUCUGCGAUUGAACAGAUUGAAUCAGUAAGGGUUUUGGAUUUUGCACGGAACUAAUAAGACACAUCUACGGAAAGCAUAAAGCUUUAUGAUGAUCGUGAAAAGAAAAGCAAGAAUGCAUCAGUGAAUAAUCAAUACCAGUAGAAGGAGCUUGAAUUCCCAUUUUUCCCUGGUUAUAACCCACCUGAAAACGACCACAAGUUACCAAUAAAAAAAAAGUAUUUAAGAGAGACCCUUAUACAUUACAAAUGGCGGCAAUGCUUUCGGUAAGUUUGUUGGAAAGAUUUCUUCAAACUCACUAAAGACGGACGCUAAAACAGGAUCGGGAGGCGUGAUGAGAAUUUGGUGGAAGGUCGCUGGGAGGAAGGAAAAAUGUGUAACCUUCCUCUUGUAAUUCUGAGACGAAAGAUGAAUAUGAACAAAGCAUAGUAACAGGACAUUGUUUUGGUGGUGUGAUAGCAGGUUGAUGUAUUGCCGAUGAUUGCGGAGGAGAAGUGUUACUGCCCGAGAUGGCAGGAGUAUAAUUUGCUUUGUCUCCCAUGUGAAACUUUAAUUAUUUUAAUCUCCAUCAUAAGUUACUUUACGAUCAUUUUCCCAUGGUCGUCCUAACAGUAAGUGGAAAUAUCCAUCGGUGCAACAUCAGAGGACAAACGUCCUUGUAGUGCGAUCCUAUUGAGAACGACACUAGAUCUUGUUGAGUGAUGCGUAGAUUAACACCUUCAGUUAGCCAACCUAAUGAGUAUGGUGCAUGAUGAGGUUUUUGGAGAAAAUCAAUUUUGUUGGCGGCUUCUUCAGUCAUCAAGUUGCGCCAACUCCCUGAGUCAAUGAUAAAGCUGCAAACGCGACCAAGAAUUUCUGGACGAGUGAAAGAUACUGGUUCAUAACCAUUUUUUGUCUGGACGUCGUGGUAUGAGACACGAUCGGUGAGUGACGAGCAAAUGCCCGGUGUCCCAUGUAGUAAAUUGAAUCUUCUCUACCUGUUUGUCCUCCUCUCCGUAAGAGUCAUAAACCAGUGCCUUAUCAUCAUGGCUAUCGUCGAUAACUAAUCCUCGUCAUGUCUUUUGUGGACAGGCCAUUUAACGAUGUCCCAAUUCACCGCAUGAGUAGCAUUUUAAGGUUGGUAUACGAGUUGAGCAACAAAGAUUAUUAUCUGUAGGUGCUGACAUACGAGAAGCAGGAGCCGUUGCAUCUGGUUCCUUUGUUGUGGCCUGCAAAAUAGUCUGCUCCAAAAAUGAGAUCGAGAGGUUUGACUUCCCCAUGUUUUCGAUCAUUUCUGUUGUUCGAAGGUAUAUGUGCGCCUAUGUGAUUUUGCAAGUGUAGUGGGAUCAAAUUGGGAUAAUGCAUUUUGGAGUUGGGGAAGAAUGCCUCAUAUGAAUUGUAAGACAAGUUGUUAUGCGCUGUUGUAUAUGUCGGUCCGCGUGAGGAGAAGGGAGAACUCCUCUAGGUAGUCGUCUACGGUACGUGACCUUUGAAGGAGAUUCUGAAGUUUAGUAUAUACCAUCUUCUUAUAGUUAUAGGGUAAGAAGGUGGCUUUAAGAUGUUGUUUUAGUUUCUCCCAAGCCAUGAUUUGGAGGUUUACUCUUAUGAUGCCUAGUUGUCUUAACUUGUUUCCACUAAAUGGCUACAUGACCUCGGAAUUUCAUCACAAUGAGACACUCGUUUUUAUUUGGAUACCUGUUUGAAUUCCAACAAUUAAUCAACUGUUGCAAUCCAGUCAAGGAAGGCUUCACCACGAGCUCCCCCUUGGAACUCUGGUAUUUACAACUUUGAAAGAGGACUCCCACUGCUGAUCGGGUGGCUGUACCCGUUCAACAUCCUCUGGUUGGCUAAAAUUGUGACGGCGUUGAGCACUAUGACGACCACGUCAUUCUCUGAUUCACCAUUAUUGAAUAUUGGAUUUUGGACCGUGAGCUGCUGUCCUAACAUAUCUCCCAUCUCCAAUUGAAGUAUGGAUUGUACUUCGGAUAUUUUCCUGCAUAGCCAAUGAUGCUUUCGGAAACUCUGUCAUAUCCGCAACAUGUUGUUUCGGAGGCAUGGUUGAAACUCCAAGAACGUUUUGUGUAGGAUACCAACUAAUUGAUAGCAGAAGCUUAGUUGCAAGAAAAUGUAACGAAAAUGAUAGAUUCUUAAGCUGCCAAUACUCUCGACCGAACAAGAAGGUCCUUUGAUCUUGGUGAUACUCUCAAAAUCAAAAUAUGGUUUAUACUAUUCAUCUAAGUGUUAUAGAUCUCUUGAUUGUUGUUGUAAGUUUAUAAAAUCUAUUAAUAUAAAGAAGACAAUGAUUCUCUUCUGGUGCUGCCACCUAAGAAAAUAGGGCAAGGACAAACUGCCGCGUGUCCCAUUAUUUUUAGAGUUUGCAGGCUUGGUUUUACGGAGGGCUUCUAAGUGGACCAGUAAUUUGUUUUGUUACUGUUAGAUUUGUUAAUGGGCUCGGUUAUUUGAAAUUGGUGGCCCACACUCUCGAUCACUAUGCUUCUAUUAAUCUUCUCGAUUGGAAAAUUUGGAAACUACGAGGGUUACGCUGAAGCGAAGCGUCAUCUUCGAAGGACUCAUUAACCAUUUUUCUCCACUCACACGAUCUAUCCUUUGAAUACAUUCCCCUUUACUUCCUAUCUCAGAAUCUUCGACUGUAAAAAGGUAUGUUCUAACCGUGUAAUUCAUCAGUUCAUACUUCUGAAUCAUAAGCUUUCUACAAAAUCUAUCUGAUUGCAGCACGAAACUCAUGAUCUAUAAGCUAUUCUUGAUAAUAUUUAGUUUCCCGGUAUGAAUAAUGAUUAAGGUUUUGUUUAUUUAUCUACUGUAGGCGAUUCUUUUUGAUUGUUCAUCUUAAACUAUUGCUCGGUUGAUUCGUUUUUAGAUUGUAUCUGAGGGGAAAAGGAGUGUCUGAGAGCGCUAGAUAGUGAGAGAGGCGACAAAGAACGGUGGUGGCGAUGUCGGAGCUUCGUCUCCUUUGGAUUGGAGACUCUCAGGUAUUUGGUGAUGCCGAAGUAGAUUCUGCAAGGACUGCGGCUGAGAAUGAUGCAAGCAAGAACAACGAUUAAUUGAUCCUACAUAUUGGUCGUGAGUGCUCUCUUUCUUACCCAUUACUGUUCCUCUGGUUAAUGGACGUGUCUUAGGUCUAAAAUUUUUUUUUUCUUUUGUUUGGGAUGAUCAUUGUCAUGACGGUCCUAAAUUGAUAUUCUUUUUAAAUUUUCAAGCAUGUCAUAUGCCGUGAAGGCAUAUGUAUCAACAAUUUUGGAAAAUGGCAGGACACCUGAAAAAUCUUUGAAAGUUUCCAACAUGAUCAUUGUUGCCAAGCCAGAUGCAUUAUAAAGCUCUUGAACUUUUCAACGAAGAUAGAUGGUAAGGUGUUCCACACAACAUAAAAAGUUGCAUGACUCUCCUCACUCUCAAAGAACCUUAUCGCUCUCGAUUUGGUGAACCGCAGAAGUAUGAGCCCACAGGGACAACUCUGUCUAGGAGUGAACCGGAGGUUCCAUUUCAUUCAAGGAGCCUAGGUGAGGAGAAGUUAGAUACUGUAUUUGAAUGCUUAAUGAGUUGUAGGUCUGUUUAUUCAAAGCUCACAUAAGGGGUUCCAUUGUAAUUACAUUAUGUAAGAAUGGUUUAUCUAACUUGGAUUGAAAUUCUUAAAAACUGAUGGUGUUUAAGAAUUUGAUGUUUGCUUAUACUUCUGAUGUGUAUGUUUGGAUGUGUUUCCUUUGGUAUGUUUAUACAUCUAUUUUCGACAGGUUCGUACGCGACAUCGGACAUUAAACGCGUCUUAUUCGUUUCUGAUGCAGCAGGUGCCUUCAAUGGUGAUGAAGCAGAGGAUGUAGAGCAUAGAAUGAUGAUUUCUUCUAUGAUUCCAAAAGUGACCACGUCCAUUCUGUAAUAAUGAUUUUUUUUUCUUUUGUAAUUUUGAUCCUGUGUUUCCAUAUCGAAUAUGAAGUUCUUCUACGAGUUUUAGUGAUUUGAGGAUAUAUGACUCUGAGAAAAACCUUCCAGAUUGUUUGGAAGGCCUCAACUUCUGGAAACUCAUCUUUAUCUCUCAAAAUCAUUAAUUAUGAACGGCCUUAACGUGUAAUUCUCGAUCUCUCAAACCUAGAUUAAGAAAAUACAGGAAACUAGAAAAUCAUGGAAAUUGGUCAAGAACAGUCACGAAGAACAUACCAUGUCGGAGAUGUAUAAUUUUUCACAAACAAUGACUACCUAACAGAGAAAAACUUAAUGUUAUUUAACUUAUUUGGCAAAUUACAGGAGUACAAGACUUGCAACUACAUUUCACCCCAAUAACAUUUAAAAUGGGUGGGCUCAUGCUACUAAGUACUAAUACAAAUAAAUAACUAAAUUCGUUUCAUUUGAGCAACAUAUGCAACCGUAUGGUCUCCAUAUACCUUUUCUAAUUUCUGGAUUAAAUUUCAAACAUUACUUUAACUUCUUCCAGUUACGAAUCCAGAUUUAAAGCUGUGAAUUAAAUGUUAAUAGUUGUAAUCGUGUGGGCAAAAUCCAAAAAAUAAUACUCUCUCUGUUUUAGAAAGAUGUAUAUUUUAAGAUUGUCAAACUUAUUAAAAAAGCAUACCAAAUUUUAAUUAACAAUGCAUUAGUUUAUGCAAUUGACUAUUUUCCACAAUUUUUAACCAAUUGAAUUUUAGUAAACACAAUUAUUUUAUUUGAAGUUUACAAUUAAUUUACGCAUUAAAAAUAUAAAAAAUGAUCCUUUGUGAAAUAUUUUUUUUUAAAACAUAGAUCUUUUUGAAACGGAAGGAGUACAACAUUCCUACUUAAAAAAAUAUGUUACAUAGACACAAAAUUAGGGGUGUUCAAUCGGGUACUGAACAAAUUAAAACCAAACGAACCAAAAUAGAGAAAGUGGUUAAGAUUUGGUAAUACCGAAUAAACCGAAUGGAGGUUAUCUUAAUAAAAUGAGGUAUAUGGAUGUGGUUCGGUAUAUAAACAGAUAAAACCAAAUAAAAUGAAGAAAAUGAUUAGUUAAAAUAUAUAGAUACUUAUAUGUAAAUUUAUAAUCCAAUGAAUCAUAUAUACAUGAUUUAUUUAUUAAUGUGAUAUUUAUAUUUAAAACAUUUAUUUUGAUAAUUUUUAUUUUAUUAUAAGUUAAAAAUGUUAUUUUAUUUUUCUUAUUUUUAUCAAAUUGGUAAAUAUUAUGAUAUAAUAUAAUUAUUUAGUAAUAUCAUGAUAUAAUAUAGUUAUUCAAUAAUAUAAUUAUAUUUUUAUUUUUAUUUUUGAUAGUUAAAAAACAUAAAUUAUUUUAUUUAAAAAUUAGAGUAUAGUUAAAAAACAUAAAUUAUUUUAUUUAAAAAUUAGAGUACAGAAUAUAUGUUAUGUUUUAUUAAAUCCAAUUUAUAAUUAUAUAAACUAAAAUUUGUUAUAAAAAGUAAAUAUAGUUACGAUUUUUGGUAUAAAACCGAAUAAACCGAAAGUCGAUAGCAUAUAAACCGAACAAAAACAGAUAUAAUAUUUAUAUGGCAGCUAAGUUUUAUAAACCGAAAUAUCAAAAACCCGAAAAAAACCGAAACAAAACCGAACUGAAAUCCAUUCAACACCCCUAUAGAAGAUCCAUCACACAACUCUAAAGAAAAGAAAAAAACGGAACGGAACAUUAACCAUAGUACAUAUCUGAACAUAAGCAAAUAAACUUUAUAACAACCAUUUUAAAAAAAUAUAUAUAUUAGAGAACAAAGUAACAUAUCCCGCGCGAAGCGCGGGUUUUCCCUAGUAUAUUAUAAUAUGAGAAUUUUUGCUCUCUCCUAAAGGCAUCCACAUCAUGUUUUUUUUAUUUGUGGGUCCCACCUUUAUUUCCGAGCUUGUUUUGGUUUUCGGAUCGAUAUGUUUUCAAUUUGGUAUAAGAUUUUGGUUUAAGUUCUAGAAAAAGCCCAAGUCAAGUAUAAGGCCAUUCGGCCAAUAUUUAGUUAUAUGGCACAUUUUGAAAAAAAAAAGUCUAAUGUUUUAUGUUUUAGUAGGGGAAAGUGUGCCAUUUUUAUUCGUCAAACAAGUUUUAUGAUUAGGUUUUCAAAGUUCUUAUUCUUCGAUCCUUCAGUCUCACCAUCCCUGCUGCUUUUCUUUAGCCUGUGAAAAGACGAGUCUUUAACAACUCUUUACCUCUCAAUAUUUUCAUAUCCAUCAAUUAUUUUGAUUGUGUUCAACGUAUACCUCUUAAAGUUUACAAUAAAUAUUUUUUUUUUGAAUGAAUGUUAAAUUUUAUUCAUAAAAAAAGCCUUAUUACAACAAUAGUUGCCUUAGCUUAGAAUCUAAUCCAAACAACUUUAAAACUUGCCAUUACUUCCUAGCAGCUAUUUAUAAUCUUGUUGCAAACUAAUAUUCAAGAAUUUCUUCUCUACCCUUGUUCCCCUUAGAUCUCAUCAGACUUAGUUGAUUUCUAACACCCUUAUCAAUAAACUUCUUCAAACUUGACAGAAGAAGAAGCUUAUCUCCAUAUUUAAUCUUGUUUCUCUCCUUCCACAAAGCAUGAACACUGGCCUGAAACGCAUAUCGAAUACAGAAUAAGCUAUUCUUCUCCCGAUUCCCAUCCAUAAUCAAUAUCACACUCUCAGACCAGAUAUUCGUAUAAGAGCUUCGUAGAAUCACUUUUGCAAGAUGUUCCCAAACCUGACUAGCAUAAGAACAUUCAUAGAAGAGAUAAUUCCUUGUUUCGACAGCAAUCUUACAAAGCACACAUGCUGCAUCAACCCCCUGAUUCCGCCUAAGUACUCUAUCCAUUGCAAGCCAGGUCACAAAAACAAAUUUGGGAGUAGCUUGUGGGAACCAAAUACCCUUUGCCCAAUUACAAAUAGGCUUAGUUUCUCGGGUAAGCAUCCAUGUUUCCUGCGUCGAGAAUGUUGAUUUAAAACAAGACUUUCUCUUCCACAAAGCUACAUCCUCAACAUUACUUCUCCUUUUCUCCUUUAUUACCAAUAACUCAGCUUCUAUGUUGUUAAGUUCCAGAGUGCGAUGCCGUCUUCUUCGCCUUGUAUUAAGCACAGCAUCCUCUACAGUAGCAUCUCUACUUAUAUCCAUAUCAGUAAUACCCCUCUCACCCAAAGGAUCAAUCAACACUCCGUUGGCUGACCAGUUAUCAUACCAGUAAGAGAUGUGCCGACCAUUCCCAACUUCUUUCUUAUAGAAAUUAUUCGCCACCUCUCUCAGUUUUAACAUCAUUCUCCAAAUCCAAGAUCCUGCUUGAGUUUUGACUUUCACUUGCCAAAAACUUUUUCCUUUUAAGUAAAUUAGCCUUUAUCCAUCUCCCCCAUAACUAUUCCCCUGAUACCAUUCUCCAUAUUAACUUCAAACCAUAGACCAUAUUAACUUCCUUUAGAUCUCUUAUAUCCAAACCACCUUCUUUUUUUAAAUUGCAGACGUCUUUCCAUGCGACUUUUUUCCCUGUAGACUUAAGAGCCAGUCCUGUCCAGAGGAAUGCAGAACAUAGUUGCUCCACCUCCUUCAAACAUUUACUGGGAAGUCUGAAAACAGCGGCCCAGAAAUUCACAAUACUCAUCAAAACUGACUUAAUCAGUUGAAGUCUUCCUGCGUAUGAUAGCAACCUACAAGUCCAAGUGUUGAUCUUGCUUCUAAUCCUUUCAACCAACGGAAUAAAUAUUUUUUCAUUAAAGCUAUUUACAAUCUAAAACAACUAUCUGUUUCCCUUCGGAUACAAUGAAACCGAAAAUUCACUUUAACCCCUAUAAAUUGGAGAGGCUUGAUAGCAGGAUUGAUCUUCACAGACGCUCUCAGUUUAUCUUCUAUCUUCAAUUGGAGCUGCUCAUCCUCAUCCUCGACGAACAUAUAUGAUUGUUUUUCUCUGAAAUUUCCUUCCUACGAAGCCCAAAGAGAUCUAUCGAGUUGCUAAUCUGCGUGCAACCAUUUGUUUCUCUCACAGAUCUGUCCUCUUCCAUCUUCACCACAUAUGCAUCCCUAUCAACGCUGACCGGUUCAGGUUCCACGUUUUAAGUCCAACUGUGGACUCAGGGGAGACCUCUAUGGUAAUCUCUGAAACGGUCUUCAGCUUAUCUUAUAUGCGUUGUAUUUGAUGCAUAUUAUUGAGCUUCUUUUCUAAUUUCACUUUAUUACCACUAUUGUUGUUUACGGGUUUAAGAUACUUUGGUAGCAAAUCGUAUAAACACCAAGACAACGUAGAACUAGAAAUUAAAACUUUUUGUUUUGUUUACGUUGAAGUUCUUCUAUAUUCUUCUAUAUUUUGCCUACUGCUUUGUUACUUUUAUAGAUGAUCUCCAUUGAAAAAAGGCUUAUGUUUACAUGAACAAGAUGAAUCAGGUAAAGUGCUGUUUUCCAUGUUUCUAAAACGCUACGAGAUGAAUCAGGUAAAGGCUCCAUAUUCCCACAAUAUAUGUUUAAUGUCUCCAAAGCUCUGUCAAACAUAUAUUUAUGUACAAUAUCUUAAUACAAAACUGGCUUAUAAACUGAGAAUUAAUUGUGUAUAAACAAACGAACAUGUCAAUGGAAUAUAGCAGGCUUUAAGGCUAGGGUUAAUCUUUGGGAGAGGAACCAAAGGUACUGAUACAUUUUAGUAAUGAAAAUGUAUAAAUAUGUUAUAAUUUUCUUACUUAACAUUGGGGAUUAACAAAAGUGAUGAUGAUAUGGAUUCAUUGCCGGCAUUAUGUGGGAAAAGAUUUAGAAUCAAUUGCGCAAGGCAACUCCAGACUGGACAUUUCUGUUAAACAUAUUUGCUCCAGAAAAGUAUGUAUGUAUAUCUUCCUUAUGGGCACAUACACACGCACACAUCUCGGUAAAAUGUUUGAGUUUGUUCAGAUAUAAAUAUAUGCCUAACUAUUGUAAGUGAUUUAAAAAGAUUUUUUUUUAUCAUUAAAACUAUGGUUAUAGAUCAUGAUAUAGUGUUAUAGAGAUGAAUGAGUGAAUAUAAUUUUGAUUCAUUGGUGCGUAAUCAACUUAUGUACGAGUCCCUCAACUACCUUCAAAAAAAGGUACGUUAACACCACUUCAUCUCUGAAGUCGUGACUUAUUUAAGCGGGGAUGCCGGCACCAAGACAGCUGUUAUAUUGGAAGACUCAUGAGGGACUUAGGUAUGGAGAUUUUUAUUGGUGGGAUUUUCAAGUUCCUGUGUUCUACUCCACUUCAUUCUUGAACUUGAGCUAACAUCGCUCCACUUUGGGCACCAAAUGAUUCUUAAAAUGAAGAAUUAGUUAUUUCUUUUUAUUUGCAUAAUCAUGCGGCAAGCUGCACAUAAGGUGGGCUAUGUCCGUUUAGUAUUAAGGUGUCUCCUGUUAAAACAUGUUUUACGUGUUGGUCGCCAUGGACGGUGACGGCAUGGACGGUGAGCUGAAAUUGUUGACGUUGGUUUUGUCAAAGAUUGUGAGCUCACCAAACACCUUCUUCAUGCUUAUAAAAGGAGAGCUGGGGUGAAGAAGAAAGGCAUCCCAAAACAAGAAAACAGAGAGAGAACGAGAGAAGAGAAGAAGAAGAAGAAGAAAAAAAAAAAAUUCACAAAAAAUCUUCUUUAAGAAAUUACGAGUAAUUUCUUGAGUAUAUUUGGGAUCGGGGUGUGAGUUGUGAGCUUGUAAAAUUUCCCUGGUUGAUAAUAAAAGAUCUGUAGCAGGUCCGGAAACGUAGGCAACAUUGGCUGAACUCCGUUAACAAUUUUGUGUGUGUGCUUCUUUCACUCUCCCAUAAAUUCUGGUUUACCGCAAAAUUUGACCGCGUAUUUUAUAACAUCUCCUAGGUUUGAACUUGAACUGUCUUCACAUUAUCAUGGUCUAUAUGAAUACACUGCACAAACAAUAACCAUGAGCUUUAUUAUAGGAAAGACAUGUGUGGUUUUUAUUAAAUAUGAUUGCAUAUAUCAUCUCUGCUUCUCUUCUCUCUCAACUAAAUUGAAACUAAAAGCUCGAAAAAGAGAAACAUCUAUUUUUUUUCUUUUGGUCAAAGAUAAACAGCUAUUCAAUUUUUUCCACCACCGAUAAAAGGAACAGGGCCCGAUUUCAUAACCCCAAGCCCAUUUAAAACUAUGCAUUUAUUUUAAACUUAAUUCAUUACGGUCUAACAUUAUCUCUUAGUUUAAAAAGAUACGAUUCAUAGUAUGGAAUAAUGAGUAAAGUUAGUAAAAUAGUUGACAUCCGAUCUAAUUGUCGAAACAAACGGUAAAGAGAAAUAUCAAACUAAACAACUCCGCGUUUGUGCGGGACUCUGUCCCUAUUAUGAAUAAGAUGCAGCUUACCUUGUAUAAAGCUUGCUUUUUAAGCUACUCUAAAAAGCAUUUGUCUAAUCCUAUUAAUAAAAGGAAAACAAAACUUAAAGCACAAGUAAAAGCCUAGUGACACUUAAGCCCGCGAGAAUGACGGUGUCGAUUAUGAAGAUAGGCAUCACAUGUUCAUCACAGUACAAUCAUAUUAUACUACUAGAUUACUUGCAAAAGAACCCUUAUAUCACCAUAUUGAGCUUGUUGGUAUUGUGGCUUAGCUUGUAUGUUGGGCUAAUACUUUAUUUUCACUACCUUGGAAUUUAAGUUUAUCACUCUAUAAUGUUUUUCUGGAUACAUGCACCUACUAAGGGUUAUUAUGUGGCGAGUCUUUAGGGCGUGUCUUGUCACUCUAUGUUUGCGUUUAAUAUGUUUGGUCAUGUCAUAUGUUCCAUGAAAAACAAUGAAUCCAUCGAACACAUUUUUAUGCAAAUAACUAACUUUGGUGUCUUGACGAUUAAAUUAUCAUCAGAAGCUUAUAAAUAUAACGAUUCUGUGAUAAUGAAGCUUUCCUAUUGAAGUAAAUAUAACAAUUCUGUGAUAAUGAAGCUUCCUAUUGAAGUAAUCGAUACAUUAGAAUAGAUUUAGACAUCUGAGGCUCUCUUUCCAGGACAGCAACCACAUCCUUCGCCGAGAUUGUCCUCACCACUUUUGGUUGAAGCGACGAACCUUGGUUCUUCCCUAAUCUUCGACCACCUGAAAACAAGAAUCCAGAGCUUGUUAUAUGGAACAAAACCGUGAAGUAAAUAUAAAAGCUAUUAAAAGGGAAAAAAGCUCACCAACUCCAGUAAACCGUCGCCCACUGUCUUGCUUGUCCUUGGAGUUUCUUCCUCCACUUGAAGUAGCUUUCUGAGUCCCAUCUUUACCAGAUUCAGAUACAGAUUUCUGACGUGCUUCCGCCAUUAAUUGCCAUUUUAAAAACGUAUCAUCUCCUCCCACAGCAGCACGAGCAGCAACGUUUGCAGCUGUCGUUCUCAUUUUGUCGUCGUCCUCUUUAUUGCCCUUCACAAAUUAAAACCAGACUUUGCAAAGUUACAGUCAAACUGCCUCCAAAAAUGUGUUUUUAAUUUCUCCCUUACCUUCAAACCCUUUGAACGGUUAUCUUCUUUCUCCUUCUCACUAUCAACUCCACCAUCACCUUCUUCACUCUGCAUCAUUGAGAAAAUAAUACAAACAAACUUUGCAAUGUCUGUAUGCUUUAGUAAAAAAUUAAGAAGAUAGAUAAUGAGCACAGAAUAUACCUCACUCGGUUUCUUAAGCUUUUCUGCUUCAGCCUGUUUCUUCUCCCAUUCCUCUUUCACCUUCUGAUUCAUUUCGUUGAUUUGCUGCCGAACAUCUGACGUGAUAACAGUCCGGUGUCUGGAUUUCUCAGUAUCAACUCGCUGCAGAAACACUUGUAAAACGUCAGAUACAAAAAUGUUGAGGCAGCAAGAAAGAGACAGUUAGACUAACCUGCUUGGACAACCGAAUUAUAUGAGAUAAUAGUCCUCGCAUCCUUUCUUCCACACACUGAGAGCGCAAAUGCAUGAGAAAAGAAAAAGAAAAUAGGCAUUAUGUGCAAAAAACAAUGCACAAAAAGUUGACAUCUCACCAAAGACAAGCACCGUUCAACAUCAUUGCUUAUCUGCUUUAAGCCGACUUUUGCCACUGCCACAGAAGAAAAACACAUAUAUGUAAAGUUUCUCCAAGUGAUUCAUAAAGCGAAAGCAGAUAAAAAGAUACGGAAAGUAUCGCAACUAAUUUCAGCCAGCUUUUUCUGCAGAGGAAUUUUCUGCAAAAUUAGUCUUUCUUCCUCUUCGUGCACAACUCUCCGAGAUGCUUCAGAAACACGACCAUCCUCCUUUCCCCCAGAGAACAAUUGUUCUUCCUCUUCCUAAACCAGAAAUAUUAUUCAGUACUCCAUAAACAGAGAUUUUUAUUCUAAACCGAAGCUAAAGCAAACGCACCCUGAGAUUAACACCACUGACUGCAGUGACAUCAUUGAGCUGUUCAAUACUUUGAUCCAUAGAAUUCGGGACCAGUUUUUGCUUCUUGCUGCAAGUUGAACCAUUCAAAAUCAAAAUAACCAUGAUUAUAGUUUUACGUUAGGAAACCAAGUGUAAAUAAUUUCACUUUUUUUUAAACAAGAGGAGCUCAAUUACCUUGGUGGUGACGAUGAAGAACCUAACGUCUCAAGAGGUUUCUUCUGACCAACAAAAGGCUUUUUGGGUGGCAUCCUAGCAUUAACUCCUGCUUGAGACGUACCCAAUGGACCACGAGAAUUCAUCUGGUGGACAUAAAAAAUUUGGUCAAUGAUAAAUAUUUUCCAAAACUGAAACUUUUUCCUCAAUAUUACCAAAAAAAAAAAGGAAAACGAGGAAUAAAAUCGAUGCCAAGGUUUUCGAAAAUAAAAAGCCAACAGAAGCACCAUGGUUGCCCCAAAUGCUCAAAGAGAAGAAGAGGCAAACAAAGAUCAACUGAAACUGACUUUUUAAUGAGAAGUUUAUAUAUCAAAAAUAGCUCUUACUGCUGUGCUAGCGUCCAGUUGAGUUGUGAUGGAAGAAGGAGAAACAGAGCUUGCAUGCGACAUGUUUCUAGAGGAGUCCUUCUCUAAAUCCUCCUUCGAAGCCCCUGAGGCUGCAUUCUUCUGUUCAAAACUUUGAUCAACUGAUUCCUGCUUCACAUUGGACAUUGAUGAUCCUUGACCAGGUGGCAAUGAUGAGCUGUUUUGGAAGUGCGAUGUAGCGCCACCUUGAACCCUACUAGGAUCAUUGACAGAAGUUUGCCUCUCAAACUUGGGCAUAGUCAUCAUGUUCGUCGUAGACUGUGGCGGUCCUCCAAGACCAGAUGAUCCCAUGGUCUGGUUAUGCGCCACAUGUCUCAUAUGGGGAUCAUGAAGGUGUGGUCUCAAUGGGGAACCAGAAACAUUGGUGUUUGAACCCGGGAAUGAGUGAAAAUUACCGGAGCUGGUAUACAUGGGAAAAGAGCUUGGUGGAAGCUGCAUCUGGUGCGGCGGAUGU